This 263-nucleotide long non-coding RNA is filed under the name Nicotiana benthamiana. RNAcentral describes it as "long non-coding RNA (NBEN_LNC037855)". The record is from RNAcentral. Lineage: Eukaryota; Viridiplantae; Streptophyta; Magnoliopsida; Solanales; Solanaceae.
CAAGUGCAAAGAUGGGGGCGCUGAGUGACAGAGUGGAGCAUGACGGUCCUUGGGCAAACAUACUACUUCUCCGCCAAAGUAAAGCGGGCUUGAGCAAUGAAAUUAUUGUGAACUCUAGAUGAAACCACGAAGUGGACGCACCGACGAAGUGUGAUGCCGUCUCCAUGAUUACGUGCCUGAGUCCCAAAGUUGGCAGCACGAGGAGGUGUGGUGCAAGCAUGAAUGAGGGUGCAAGUUCCGUGUGGAAGACGAAAGGAGUUGCA